GACGAACGCUGGCGGCGUGCUUAACACAUGCAAGUCGAACGGAAAGGCCCUGCUUUUGUGGGGUGCUCGAGUGGCGAACGGGUGAGUAACACGUGAGUAACCUGCCCUUGACUUUGGGAUAACUUCAGGAAACUGGGGCUAAUACCGGAUAGGAGCUCCUGCUGCAUGGUGGGGGUUGGAAAGUUUCGGCGGUUGGGGAUGGACUCGCGGCUUAUCAGCUUGUUGGUGGGGUAGUGGCUUACCAAGGCUUUGACGGGUAGCCGGCCUGAGAGGGUGACCGGCCACAUUGGGACUGAGAUACGGCCCGGACUCCUACGGGAGGCAGCAGUGGGGAAUAUUGCGCAAUGGGCGGAAGCCUGAUGCAGCAACGCCGCGUGCGGGAUGACGGCCUUCGGGUUGUAAACCGCUUUCGCCUGUGACGAAGCGUGAGUGACGGUAAUGGGUAAAGAAGCACCGGCUAACUACGUG
This 468-nucleotide ribosomal RNA is filed under the name uncultured bacterium. RNAcentral describes it as "partial 16S ribosomal RNA". It matches the Rfam family "Bacterial small subunit ribosomal RNA", at positions 28 to 507 of the family's 1533-position model. The record is from RNAcentral.